This is a long non-coding RNA of Thalassophryne amazonica, 365 nucleotides long. RefSeq lists it as uncharacterized. The transcript has 3 exons. Lineage: Eukaryota; Metazoa; Chordata; Actinopteri; Batrachoidiformes; Batrachoididae. The record is from RefSeq and is a predicted model, not a curated record.
AAUUAACUUUAGAAACCAUCCCAAACACUGUACGUGUGUUCCUUCCAUUUCAUCGAUAAAAAGCCCACGGAGGAAAACCCGCAUCCUAUGUUGUGGUUGGGUUAUAACAAACCUAUGGAGAAGAAACACCGAGUGCUGAGGAGGUUCAACAGCAGCUUCACAUCAACAACAGUGGACACUUGAACUCCAGGAGCUGUGUCGAGUCUAAAAUGCCAUCUGGACUUGCCCCAAACCAGGGAUGCUCAAGACACACCACCAGGCCUCUCCGCUCCACAGUGUGGAAUUGACCUUCCAUGAGCUGAAUGGCUUUGUCCUCUUUUCUUUACCAUAUUUAGUGGCAGAAUUGCCAGUGAAGGUGGGGUGUA